This is a non-coding RNA of Danionella cerebrum, 84 nucleotides long. The record is from the annotation of a GenBank genome assembly. Lineage: Eukaryota; Metazoa; Chordata; Actinopteri; Cypriniformes; Danionidae.
CCUUCAAUAGCUCAUUUGGUAGAGCGGAGGACUGCAGCAGGUAACUGGCAAUCCUUAGGUCACUGGUUCAACCCGAAUGAAAUA